Molecule: ribosomal RNA, 274 nt
Filed under: uncultured bacterium
Lineage: Bacteria
Description: partial 16S ribosomal RNA
Rfam family: Bacterial small subunit ribosomal RNA
Source: RNAcentral
AUACGGAGGAUCCAAGCGUUAUCCGGAAUCAUUGGGUUUAAAGGGUGCGUAGGCGGGUUUGUAAGUCAGUGGUGAAAGUUUUCGGCUCAACCGGAAAAUUGCCAUUGAUACUGCAAGUAUUGAAUCAUUAUGAAGUGGUUAGAAUGUGUAGUGUAGCGGUGAAAUGCAUAGAUAUUACACAGAAUACCGAUUGCGAAGGCAGAUCACUAAUAAUGUAUUGACGCUAAGGGACGAAAGCGUGGGUAGCGAACAGGAUUAGAAACCCCAGUAGUCC